This 287-nucleotide ribosomal RNA is filed under the name uncultured bacterium. RNAcentral describes it as "partial 16S ribosomal RNA". It matches the Rfam family "Bacterial small subunit ribosomal RNA", at positions 29 to 346 of the family's 1533-position model. The record is from RNAcentral.
AACGAACGCUGGCGGCAUGCCUAACACAUGCAAGUCGAACGAGACCUUCGGGUCUAGUGGCGCACGGGUGCGUAACGCGUGGGAACCUGCCUUUAGGUUCGGAAUAACUCAGAGAAAUUUGAGCUAAUACCGGAUAAUGUCUUCGGACCAAAGAUUUAUCGCCUUUAAGAUGGGCCCGCGUUGGAUUAGCUAGUGGUGGGUAAGCCUACCAAGGCGACGAUCCAUAGCUGGUCUGAGAGGAUGAUCAGCCACACUGGGACUGAGACACGGCCCAGACUCCUACGGGA